CGCAAGGGCGGGUGCUACCAUGCAGUCGACGAUGAUGCCCAGCUUGCUGGGUGGAUUAGUGGCGAACGGGUGAGUAAUACGUGAGUAACCUGCCCUUGACUCUGGGAUAAGCCUGGGAAACUGGGUCUAAUACUGGAUACUACCGUCCAUCGCAUGGUGGGUGGUGGAAAGGGUUUUACUGGUUUUGGAUGGGCUCACGGCCUAUCAGCUUGUUGGUGGGGUAAUGGCUCACCAAGGCGACGACGGGUAGCCGGCCUGAGAGGGUGACCGGCCACACUGGGACUGAGACACGGCCCAGACUCCUACGGGAGGCAGCAGUGGGGAAUAUUGCACAAUGGGCGGAAGCCUGAUGCAGCGACGCCGCGUGAGGGAUGACGGCCUUCGGGUUGUAAACCUCUUUCAGUAGGGAAGAAGCGAGAGUGACGGUACCUGCAGAAGAAGCGCCGGCUAACUACGUGCCAGCAGCCGCGGUAAUACGUAGGGCGCAAGCGUUGUCCGGAAUUAUUGGGCGUAAAGAGCUCGUAGGCGGUUUGUCGCGUCUGCUGUGAAAGCCCGGGGCUCAACCCCGGGUCUGCAGUGGGUACGGGCAGACUAGAGUGCAGUAGGGGAGACUGGAAUUCCUGGUGUAGCGGUGAAAUGCGCAGAUAUCAGGAGGAACACCGAUGGCGAAGGCAGGUCUCUGGGCUGUUACUGACGCUGAGGAGCGAAAGCAUGGGGAGCGAACAGGAUUAGAUACCCUGGUAGUCCAUGCCGUAAACGUUGGGCACUAGGUGUGGGGGACAUUCCACGUUCUCCGCGCCGUAGCUAACGCAUUAAGUGCCCCGCCUGGGGAGUACGGCCGCAAGGCUAAAACUCAAAGGAAUUGACGGGGGCCCGCACAAGCGGCGGAGCAUGCGGAUUAAUUCGAUGCAACGCGAAGAACCUUACCAAGGCUUGACAUUCACCGGACCGCUCCAGAGAUGGGGUUYCCYUUCGGGGUCGGUGGACAGGUGGUGCAUGGUUGUCGUCAGCUCGUGUCGUGAGAUGUUGGGUUAAGUCCCGCAACGAGCGCAACCCUCGUUCUAUGUUGCCAGCACGUGAUGGUGGGGACUCAUAGGAGACUGCCGGGGUCAACUCGGAGGAAGGUGGGGAUGACGUCAAAUCAUCAUGCCCCUUAUGUCUUGGGCUUCACGCAUGCUACAAUGGCCGGUACAAAGGGUUGCGAUACUGUGAGGUGGAGCUAAUCCCAAAAAGCCGGUCUCAGUUCGGAUUGAGGUCUGCAACUCGACCUCAUGAAGUCGGAGUCGCUAGUAAUCGCAGAUCAGCAACGCUGCGGUGAAUACGUUCCCGGGCCUUGUACACACCGCCCGUCAAGUCACGAAAGUUGGUAACACCCGAAGCCGGUGGCCUAACCCCUUGUGGGAGGAGCCGUCGAAGGUGGACUGGCAGUG
RNAcentral lists this ribosomal RNA (1430 nucleotides) under Kocuria sp. Its description in RNAcentral is "bacterial SSU rRNA". The record is from RNAcentral. Lineage: Bacteria; Bacillati; Actinomycetota; Actinomycetes; Micrococcales; Micrococcaceae.